UGCGAAUGGCUCAUUAUAUAAGUUAUCGUUUAUUUGAUAGUACCUUACUACUUGGAUAACCGUGGUAAUUCUAGAGCUAAUACAUGCUAAAAAUCCCGACUUCGGAAGGGAUGUAUUUAUUAGAUUAAAAACCAAUGCCCUCUGGGCUCUCUGGUGAUUCAUGAUAACUUCUCGAAUCGCAUGGCCUUGCGCCGGCGAUGGUUCAUUCAAAUUUCUUCCCUAUCAACUUUCGAUGUUUGGGUAGUGGCCAAACAUGGUUGCAACGGGUAACGGAGGGUUAGGGCUCGACCCCGGAGAAGGAGCCUGAGAAACGGCUACUACAUCCAAGGAAGGCAGCAGGCGCGCAAAUUACCCAAUCCCGAUUCGGGGAGGUAGUGACAAUAAAUACUGAUACAGGGCUCUUUUGGGUCUUGUAAUUGGAAUGAGUACAAUUUAAAUCCCUUAACGAGGAACAAUUGGAGGGCAAGUCUGGUGCCAGCAGCCGCGGUAAUUCCAGCUCCAAUAGCGUAUAUUAAAGUUGUUGUGGUUAAAAAGCUCGUAGUUGAACCUUGGGCCUGGCUGGCCGGUCCGCCUCACCGCGUGUACUGGUCCGGCCGGGCCUUUCCCUCUGUGGAACCCCAUGCCCUUCACUGGGUGUGGCGGGGAAACAGGACUUUUACUUUGAAAAAAUUAGAGUGCUCCAGGCAGGCCUAUGCUCGAAUACAUUAGCAUGGAAUAAUGAAAUAGGACGUGCGGUUCUAUUUUGUUGGUUUCUAGGACCGCCGUAAUGAUUAAUAGGGACAGUCGGGGGCAUCAGUAUUCAAUUGUCAGAGGUGAAAUUCUUGGAUUUAUUGAAGACUAACUACUGCGAAAGCAUUUGCCAAGGAUGUUUUCAUUAAUCAGGAACGAAAGUUAGGGGAUCGAAGACGAUCAGAUACCGUCGUAGUCUUAACCAUAAACUAUGCCGACUAGGGAUCGGACGAUGUUAUUUUUUGACUCGUUCGGCACCUUACGAGAAAUCAAAGUG
This 1006-nucleotide ribosomal RNA is filed under the name Metarhizium ovoidosporum. RNAcentral's name for it is "SSU rRNA". It matches the Rfam family "Eukaryotic small subunit ribosomal RNA", at positions 88 to 1105 of the family's 1831-position model. Lineage: Eukaryota; Fungi; Ascomycota; Sordariomycetes; Hypocreales; Clavicipitaceae. The record is from RNAcentral.